AGAAUUUGAUCUUGGUUCAGAUUGAACGCUGGCGGCGUGGAUGAGGCAUGCAAGUCGAACGGAAUAAUGACUUCGGUUGUUAUUUAGUGGCGGAAGGGUUAGUAAUACAUAGAUAAUCUGUCCUCAACUUGGGAAUAACGGUUGGAAACGACCGCUAAUACCGAAUGUGGUAUGUUUAGGCAUCUAAAACAUAUUAAAGAAGGGGAUCUUCGGACCUUUCGGUUGAGGGAGAGUCUAUGGGAUAUCAGCUUGUUGGUGGGGUAAUGGCCUACCAAGGCUUUGACGUCUAGGCGGAUUGAGAGAUUGACCGCCAACACUGGGACUGAGACACUGCCCAGACUUCUACGGAAGGCUGCAGUCGAGAAUCUUUCGCAAUGGACGAAAGUCUGACGAAGCGACGCCGCGUGUGUGAUGAAGGCUCUAGGGUUGUAAAGCACUUUCGCUUGGGAAUAAGAGAGAUUGGCUAAUAUCCAAUCGAUUUGAGCGUACCAGGUAAAGAAGCACCGGCUAACUCCGUGCCAGCAGCUGCGGUAAUACGGGGGGUGCUAGCGUUAAUCGGAUUUAUUGGGCGUAAAGGGCGUGUAGGCGGAAAGGAAAGUUAGAUGUUAAAUCUUGGGGCUCAACCCCAAGCCAGCAUCUAAUACUAUCUUUCUAGAGGGUAGAUGGAGAAAAGGGAAUUCCACGUGUAGCGGUGAAAUGCGUAGAUAUGUGGAAGAACACCAGUGGCGAAGGCGCUUUUCUAAUUUACACCUGACGCUAAGGCGCGAAAGCAAGGGGAGCAAACAGGAUUAGAUACCCUGGUAGUCCUUGCCGUAAACGAUGCAUACUUGAUGUGGAUAGUCUCAACCCUAUCCGUGUCGUAGCUAACGCGUUAAGUAUGCCGCCUGAGGAGUACACUCGCAAGGGUGAAACUCAAAAGAAUUGACGGGGGCCCGCACAAGCAGUGGAGCAUGUGGUUUAAUUCGAUGCAACGCGAAGAACCUUACCUGGGCUUGACAUGUAUUUGACCGCGGCAGAAAUGUCGUUUUCCGCAAGGACAGAUACACAGGUGCUGCAUGGCUGUCGUCAGCUCGUGCCGUGAGGUGUUGGGUUAAGUCCCGCAACGAGCGCAACCCUUAUCGUUAGUUGCCAACACUUAGGGUGGGAACUCUAACGAGACUGCCUGGGUUAACCAGGAGGAAGGCGAGGAUGACGUCAAGUCAGCAUGGCCCUUAUGCCCAGGGCUACACACGUGCUACAAUGGCCAGUACAGAAGGUAGCAAUAUCGUGAGAUGGAGCAAAUCCUCAAAGCUGGCCCCAGUUCGGAUUGUAGUCUGCAACUCGACUACAUGAAGUCGGAAUUGCUAGUAAUGGCGUGUCAGCUAUAACGCCGUGAAUACGUUCCCGGGCCUUGUACACACCGCCCGUCACAUCAUGGGAGUUGGUUUUGCCUUAAGUCGUUGACUCAACCUGCAAAGGAGAGAGGCGCCCAAGGUGAGGCUGAUGACUGGGAUGAAGUCGUAACAAG
Molecule: ribosomal RNA, 1507 nt
Filed under: Chlamydia psittaci
Lineage: Bacteria; Pseudomonadati; Chlamydiota; Chlamydiia; Chlamydiales; Chlamydiaceae
Description: bacterial SSU rRNA
Rfam family: Bacterial small subunit ribosomal RNA
Source: RNAcentral